Molecule: long non-coding RNA, 475 nt
Organism: Sipha flava (yellow sugarcane aphid)
Lineage: Eukaryota; Metazoa; Arthropoda; Insecta; Hemiptera; Aphididae
Exons: 3
Source: RefSeq, a predicted model, not a curated record
ACUGUUAAGUGUUGUUUCGUUUUUUUAACUUCGUUCAAUUUUUUUUUAAAUAUGUCCAAAAAUGUAUUUGACAUAUUAAAUUUAAAAAAAAAGAAUGUUCCGACCGUCGAUAUUGACUAAGUCAGAAUUGAUUCUGCAUUAUUUGAAUCAUCUUCGACUGUACAUUCAGGCACGGUAAAACAAUAGAAUAAACAUUUACAGCAUAAUAAAUUGAUAAGUGAUUUGGGAACUUUAGACACAGGCCCUGUUCGUCCAUUGCUAAAAACUUAUCCAAAAACUAAUUUUGGUUCACAAAACUGAAGUUUUAACGAUAAAUACUAUUCAAAAUAUGAAUGGAUUGAAUAUAGUAUUGUGAAUUAUGCUAUUUUUUUUUUUUUGCUGUCGGCAUUAUUCUACCGGAAAAAGUGUACAAGAUGAUGUGUUUACAUUAACUGGGUUUAAAAAUUGGAAAAAAUUAACUGGAUCAAGAGGGAAA